Molecule: ribosomal RNA, 253 nt
Filed under: uncultured bacterium
Lineage: Bacteria
Description: partial 16S ribosomal RNA
Rfam family: Bacterial small subunit ribosomal RNA
Source: RNAcentral
UACGAAGGGGGCUAGCGUUGUUCGGAAUCACUGGGCGUAAAGCGCACGUAGGCGGGUCUUUAAGUCAGAGGUGAAAUCCUGGAGCUCAACUCCAGAACUGCCUUUGAUACCGAGGAUCUUGAGUUCGGGAGAGGUGAGUGGAACUGCGAGUGUAGAGGUGAAAUUCGUAGAUAUUCGCAAGAACACCAGUGGCGAAGGCGGCUCACUGGCCCGAUACUGACGCUGAGGCACGAAAGCGUGGGGAGCAAACAGG